RNAcentral lists this unclassified non-coding RNA (365 nucleotides) under Hevea brasiliensis (rubber tree). Lineage: Eukaryota; Viridiplantae; Streptophyta; Magnoliopsida; Malpighiales; Euphorbiaceae. The record is from RNAcentral.
GAAAAACAUAGGAUCGCAUCAUCUAUUUGUACUGCAGGAAACAUAAAUCCAAAGAAGAAAAAUAUCUGUGAUUUUUUGCUUAAAUGUUGCUUGGAUUCUCUCUUCGUUGUUUUAAAUUCCUCAAAACAUGGUGCUUUACUUGAAAAACAAAAUGAUGGGAGCAGAAAUGCUUCAUGACUUAAAACUGCUUUUGUAUCCUGUCCUUCAUGUCAUUUUGAGCAUAGUUAUGGGAUUAGGAAUAUUCACCUGUCACACUAAUACAAAGUUGGUAGGUUCAAACCUUAUUUGAUUGAAAAUGACAUUUUUACAAGAUAAUAUCACAUUGUAUUUUCUUUUCUUUUACUUCUCUUCUCAUGUUGUGCUCA